AUACGGAGGAUCCGAGCGUUAUCCGGAUUUAUUGGGUUUAAAGGGUGCGCAGGCGGGAGAUUAAGUCGGCGGUGAAAUUUUUCAGCUCCACUGUAAAAGUGCCUUCGAAACUGGUUUCCUUGAGUGUAGAUGAAGGAGGCGGAAUUUGUGGUGUAGCGGGGAAAUGCAUAGAUAUCACGAGGAACUCCGAUUGCGCAGGCAGCUUACUAAACUACUACUGACGCUCAGGCACGAAGGCGUGGGGAUCAAACAGGAUUAGAUACCCUGGUAGUCCACGCAGUAAACGAUGAUUACUAGCUGUUUGCGAUACAAUGUAAGCGGCUGAGCGAAAGCGUUAAGUAAUCCACCUGGGGAGUACGUUCGCAAGAAUGAAACUCAAAGGAAUUGACGGGG
This 393-nucleotide ribosomal RNA is filed under the name uncultured bacterium. RNAcentral describes it as "partial 16S ribosomal RNA". It matches the Rfam family "Bacterial small subunit ribosomal RNA", at positions 523 to 918 of the family's 1533-position model. The record is from RNAcentral.